AAGUCGUAACAAGGUUUCCGUAGGUGAACCUGCGGAAGGAUCAUUAAAAGUAAAUAUGUAUUCUCUCGAAUAUACAUUUCAAACCCACCUGCGUACGUUACCCGUUGCUUCCGCGAGGCAGUGAUCUCGGUCACCUCCAGAAGAUGGCGAAGGCCAUCCGAACGGGGAGCACUCGCGAAAGGUUUACAUCAAACCCUUGCAAUUUCAUGCCAUCUGUCUGAACCUGUUUAUAACAAAUGUUAAAACUUUCAACAACGGAUCUCUUGGUUCUCGCAUCGAUGAAGAACGCAGCGAAAUGCGAUAAGUAGUGUGAAUUGCAGAAUUCAGUGAAUCAUCGAAUCUUUGAACGCACAUUGCGCCUCCUGGUAUUCCGGGAGGCAUGCCUGUUCGAGCGUCAUUAGAAACCACUCAGGCCGUUUUUAUGGCUUGGUAUUGGGAGAGGAGUGCACCCGCUGCCUUCCCUUCCGAAAUUCAAUGGCGGAAAGCCCCACGUGCCCCGGCGUAGUAAGAUUUCUUUCGCCCGGAACCUGAGGUGAUCCUGCCGCGAACCCCCAUUUCUUUACAGGUUGACCUCGGAUCAGGUAGGGAUACCCGCUGAACUUAAGCAUAUCAAUAAGCGGAGGAAAAGAAACCAACAGGGAUUGCCUUAGUAACUGCGAGUGAAGCGGCAAGAGCUCAAAUUUUAAAUCUGACGUCCUCGGGCGUUCGAGUUGUAAUUUGGAGGGACAUAUUCGGGGGUGGCGCCGUCCUAAGUUCCUUGGAACAGGACGUCACAGAGGGUGAGAAUCCCGUGCCAGGACGGCUGUCCACCACCUUGUGAAUUGUCUCCAACGAGUCGAGUUGUUUGGGAAUGCAGCUCAAAAUGGGUGGUAAAUUUCAUCUAAAGCUAAAUAUUGGCGAGAGACCGAUAGCGCACAAGUAGAGUGAUCGAAAGAUGAAAAGCACUUUGAAAAGAGAGUUAAAAAGUACGUGAAAUUGUUGAAAGGGAAGCGCUUGCGACCAGACUCGAUCUUCGGCGAUCAGCCGGGCCUUCCAGGCUCGGUGCACUUGCCGCUGAUCGGGCCAGCAUCGGUUCCGAGGGUGGGAUAAAAGUUCGGGGAAUGUGGCUUCCUUCGGGAGGUGUUAUAGACCCGUUCAUAAUGCCACCAUUUGGGACCGAGGACCGCGCUUCGGCUAGGAUGCUGGCGUAAUGGUCUUAAGCGACC
Molecule: ribosomal RNA, 1205 nt
Filed under: uncultured fungus
Lineage: Eukaryota; Fungi
Description: eukaryotic LSU rRNA
Rfam family: Eukaryotic large subunit ribosomal RNA (bases 568-1205)
Source: RNAcentral